This 498-nucleotide ribosomal RNA is filed under the name uncultured bacterium. RNAcentral describes it as "partial 16S ribosomal RNA". It matches the Rfam family "Bacterial small subunit ribosomal RNA", at positions 28 to 507 of the family's 1533-position model. The record is from RNAcentral.
GACGAACGCUGGCAGCGUGCCUAAUACAUGCAAGUCGAACGAGAGCAACCGGUGCUUGCACUGGUCAAUCUAGUGGCGAACGGGUGAGUAACACGUGGGUAACCUGCCCAUCAGAGGGGGAUAACAUCCGGAAACGGAUGCUAAAACCGCAUAGGUCUUCGAACCGCAUGGUUUGAAGAGGAAAAGAGGCGCAAGCUUCUGCUGAUGGAUGGACCCGCGGUGCAUUAGCUAGUUGGUGAGGUAACGGCUCACCAAGGCCGUGAUGCAUAGCCGACCUGAGAGGGUGAUCGGCCACAUUGGGACUGAGACACGGCCCAAACUCCUACGGGAGGCAGCAGUAGGGAAUCUUCCGCAAUGGACGCAAGUCUGACGGAGCAACGCCGCGUGAGUGAAGAAGGUUUUCGGAUCGUAAAACUCUGUUGUUAGAGAAGAACAAGUGCUAGAGUAACUGUUAGCGCCUUGACGGUAUCUAACCAGAAAGCCACGGCUAACUACGUG